RNAcentral lists this ribosomal RNA (468 nucleotides) under uncultured bacterium. RNAcentral's name for it is "partial 16S ribosomal RNA". It matches the Rfam family "Bacterial small subunit ribosomal RNA", at positions 28 to 507 of the family's 1533-position model. The record is from RNAcentral.
GACGAACGCUGGCGGCGUGCUUAACACAUGCAAGUCGAACGGAAAGGUCCUGCUUUUGUGGGGUGCUCGAGUGGCGAACGGGUGAGUAACACGUGAGUAACCUGCCCUUGACUUUGGGAUAACUUCAGGAAACUGGGGCUAAUACCGGAUAGGAGCUCCUGCUGCAUGGUGGGGGUUGGAAAGUUUCGGCGGUUGGGGAUGGACUCGCGGCUUAUCAGCUUGUUGGUGGGGUAGUGGCUUACCAAGGCUUUGACGGGUAGCCGGCCUGAGAGGGUGACCGGCCACAUUGGGACUGAGAUACGGCCCAGACUCCUACGGGAGGCAGCAGUGGGGAAUAUUGCACAAUGGGCGGAAGCCUGAUGCAGCAACGCCGCGUGCGGGAUGACGGCCUUCGGGUUGUAAACCGCUUUCGCCUGUGACGAAGCGUGGGUGACGGUAAUGGGUAAAGAAGCACCGGCUAACUACGUG